Molecule: RNA transcript, 4368 nt
Organism: Synchiropus splendidus (mandarinfish)
Lineage: Eukaryota; Metazoa; Chordata; Actinopteri; Syngnathiformes; Callionymidae
Gene name: zinc finger protein 83-like
Exons: 5
Source: RefSeq, a predicted model, not a curated record
CCGCGCGGAUCAACGUGACCGUGACGUGACCCGGAAAGAAUCCUGGGCUCACGGACUUCAGCAACUGUCGAAGCCAAACGUCUUGUCUUGAGAGACGGACAAGGCUGUUUGGGGAGAAAAGAAAAAUACCGAAUUCAAAAUGUUCCCGUGUGGACGAUGGAAAGAGGAACCCAGGGCGGAGGAGAAAAGGUCACCCGGGUGACGGUAUGUUCGUGACGUCACACUAAAUACCGUGUCACCAAGCUGACACGCCAGUCAGAAUUGUCGUCUAUGAACUGCUGCGCUGGUGGACGUUGACGGGGGAAGGUCCGCGGAGUUGAGCGAUGACAGCGGCGCGGGUGAGUCGGACUGCGUGAGGGACCUGCUCCGGGUCUGCUGGCGAGGCACUGCUCGGCGCGCGCCCUCUGCCGGUCACCAUGGCGAACUGCCGAAGACACGCCGCGUUCAUGCAGGUACUUCACCCGUCGGGAACCUUCCAUGUGUUCCCACAGACGUGUUCCACCACAGUAAGGCAACGAAACGCACAAGAAUGAAUGUUUGAAAGCCAGAAAGCUUCCUGGCUGGCUCCCAGAGAUGCUCUGGCUCGAGUCCUGAGGGAUUCUCGGGUGCGCGUGUGUGCCGCUGAGGGGGGCGCCACCUGAAACUGGGGGUCGAACAAAAUACACUUGGUCGAAUAAGCAGAGAGCCGGAUAGCGUGAGCAGCGCGAGUCACACACAACUGAUCAAGCGGGUCCGGUAACAGUGUCAUCAGCCACUUCUAAACAUGGACACAUCCGCAUUCAAGAAGAAGGAUUUUCACUUUGAAAUGACCCAUGGCAUUGACCUCUAGCCUCCUGGGAGUCUUUCGCGGGAGCAAUAGUUGGAUUUUCUAAAACAAUAAGGAGUAUUUCCGUGUCUUUCCAACCAGCUCCGUUUGAGCAUGACCGUAAUACUCGCUUUACACGAGCACUGUGGAACUGCGGAGCGUCGUUCUGAUGCGGGCUUGACUCCAGUGUUUACGUUUGGGCUCGACAUUUCUGGUCCGUGAGUGAUGGAACACACCGGACUCCGAGUCGGUGUUCUAGCGAAUGUUGGGCGGCUGGUCACGAGGGGGCGCUCCAGCCCCGCCACCGCCGUUCGUCUCUUCUGCAGAGGAAGCAAGGAUUUCUUUCUUCUUAGCAGCCAGCCAUUAUUUGGAGUCGGACAAGGUUCCGUGUUGAGAAUGCUGCGUUGGCGCUGUGACGAGAAUAAGUGGCGCGAGCGGUUCUCUAAUCCCUUUGAAUGGUUGUGUUCCGUUGAGGGAAACUGGACCGAACGUGGCCAGCAGGCGGCGCAGUGAGGAGGCAGCGGCUGCUGAAGAAGAAGAAGAAGAAGAAGAAGGAGAACUCAGCGGAGGCUCGCGGAAGAAUCCCGUUUCAGGAGUUUCUCGAAGAAACUCUCCACUCUGUUGGUGCUCGUCAACAGUUCCUUCACUUCCAGAUUCGACUCGAAGAAUGUCUUCUCCACACCUGGGUGCGGCCACGGCUGCAGGGCUCCACGAGGAAGUGCUGAGGCCGAGCAGGGAGGUGGGCUGCCAGUGGGAGAGUCCGCAGGGGCAGAAGAGGGAGGUGGGCUGCCAGUGUGACCCCGCAGAGAGGAGGGACGCUGGAGUCCAGGUGGACCUUCUGACUCAGCAGCUGUCAGACUCCUCCGCCGUGCUGCUGCACUGUUUCUCAGUCCGCCCGGACGGCCCAGAUGGGGGCGCCCUGCUGCAGCACUGUACCCCGAAGCGCACUCGGACCAGAACCAUCAGAAGUCCCAUCCAGUCAGAGUUCCUGUCAGAUUCCUCAUACACGCAUGCUGGACCCAAGAGGGCGGCGAGAAGACGAGGAGCCCCACAGCAGGGCUCCAGCCCCGCCGCCCCGGCUGCGGCUGGUCCAGAGCCAAGUGUGGCAUCCCCCGGACAAGCUCUGCCGCAUCAGCAAGAAGGCGAGGAGCUUGUGACAGAAGAUCCUGCUGAUCCCAGCUGGACUCCUGCUGAAGAAGAGCCGCGCCCUGACGGCCGGCAUGCCUCCGUGCCGGCGCUGAAGCUGGACCCCGACAGCACCAUGUGUGAGGUCUGUGGGAAGGUGAUGAAGAAGUCCAGCCUGACUCAGCACUCCUUCAUCCACACGGGGAGGAAACCCUUCUCCUGCCAUCUCUGUGAGCUGCGCUUCAAUCGCCGUGGAAAUCUGCAGCACCACCUGAGCCGGAUGCACCCGAACGGCGUGACCAAACUGGAGAAGAGGCGCAAGGUGCAGACCUGGCUCUGCGAGGUCUGCGGCAAGACCUUCAACUGCCGCUCAGCCUUGAAGUUGCACGAGGUCAUCCACACUGGGGUCAAAGCCCACCGCUGCGACCUUUGCCCCAAAGCCUACAUGCGCAUAUAUGAGCUGAACCACCACAAGAGGACGGUGCACGUGGAUGGCCAGGCCGCUCCGGGGCGCGCCGGCUCCAUGCUCUGCGACCGCUGUGGGAAGGAGUUUAAAUACAAGUCGCAGCUCGCUCUCCAUGUUCAGACGCACACCGGCGAGAGGCCGCACCACUGUCACAUCUGUGGCCGCAAGUUCGGGCGUCGGCGCUACCUGGAGCGCCACGUGUCUGUGGUCCACAGCAGCCAGGACCCGGAGGUGAGCCCGUCGCCCGAGCCCCCGCUGCCUUUUCCCUGCGGAGAGUGUGGCAAGCGGCUGAAGUCGGCGGCCUCUCUGGCAGCUCACGCUUGCCUUGGCGGCGGAGACAGACCUCACCGUUGCAGCGUCUGCCAGCGCAGCUUCCUGUGCAGCACCAGCCUGAAGCAGCACCACCUGCGGGUGCACAUGAAGGUCCGGCGAAGCAAGGCAGCCGCGGCAAAGAUGUUCCCGUGCGCGGUCUGCGGGAAGGUCUUCAGGUUCCGCUCCUUGCUGGCGGGACACGCCAUGAUCCACAGCGAGGUUCGACCGCACGCCUGCGACUUCUGCAGCCGCAGAUUCAAGCGCGUCAGCCACCUGAAGAAGCACCGCCAGACGGUUCAUGCAAACGGUGCUCGUCUCCCAGAGACCUUCGUGUGUCCCUUCUGCGGCCAAGACAAGAAGUGUCGCUCUCAGCUCAGCAUGCACCUCAUGAUCCACACCGGGGAGCGGCCCUUCGCCUGUGACCUCUGCCCGGCUCGCUUCAACCGCCGCGGCAACCUGCAGCAGCACCAGAGGGCGGUCCAUGGGGUGGGCCGCCCCACCCCCGACCCGCCCGUCCUCUUUGAGGAUGACGGGGAAGCGCUGGCAUGUAAGGAGGAGGAGACUCAGAUGGGUCUGGACCCGAGUUCGGACCACAGUUGAUUGUUCUCAUUCUGCUCCUGUGGCUCGCCUGGAACAGCAGUUGCUCAAAGUAAAACUGUUGAAAUUGCACUUGAUCAAAGCGGCUCAGUGUGUGGUGUUUCUGUGUCGGGCAAAAGGUCGAUCCCGGUGUGACCUGGAUCCUAAUCUUUGUCUGGGGCCUGUGGUGAGGCGGGUGUAGCAGGACUGAGGCUGGCAGCAAGGAAGGAGGCAGGCAGGGACUUUGCAUGAGCUUCAUCUUCAUGUGUGAGCUGAUAGACGCUCGGCUCAUCCUCGGUGCUUCUUCAGUCUCAACACGUUGGCGUGGCCACGUCCCCUCCUGAACAGCGCCACAAACCUCAAUGGCAUGUAUUGUAGCAGAGCCAGAGUUGAUGCUGUCAUGAAGCCUGGGCUUGACGGCUCUUCAGAAGCAGACUGUUGUUAUCGCCGUCCACACCAAAGGUUUCGCAGACUCGACACAAAAGACACAAGGAGACGAAUACUAAAGAGUUUCAGGCGUGUUCUGGGUGCGCCAAGAGGCCCCUCUUUAACCUCUCUCUCACAUAUACAGUAAUGUAGCGUUGCUCCUGCUGUAUUAUUGUGACCAUUAAAGGCAUUUUAUGAGCGGCUGUUGAAUGGCUGCAGUGGACCUUCCGGGCCAGAUAGAGGCGCUGCAGCCACUCACCGACGAUGGACUUGCGAGUGUUUCCGGUGCGGCCUGGCUCCGAGCGGGUUUUCCCAAGUUCCCAAGUUUCUCUUUCAAAUUAAGUUUGGUCUUCGACUCGCAGUUGUUUUGGGGGCCGCCAGGCACCGCAUCACUCGACCGUCAAGUGAACCCGGGAUUCGAGCGCCCUCGGCGAAGGCAGCAGGUUGGUGAGGCUGAAGCGCCAUCGUUAGCACGUUAGCCGGCCGCUGCUAACGCAACAACCGAGGGACAGGCAGUGGCUUUACAGCGACUCGUCCGGGGUGCUGCUCACCUGUCUGUCCGUCAGACCUGACGGGCCUGACGGAGGCGCGCUGCUGCGCCACUGCACCACCGCGCCCAGAAGCAGCAGCCAUGUCAAGCCAUGCAUCAAACGCGCCG